This 421-nucleotide ribosomal RNA is filed under the name uncultured Bacteroidota bacterium. RNAcentral's name for it is "bacterial SSU rRNA". It matches the Rfam family "Bacterial small subunit ribosomal RNA", at positions 356 to 774 of the family's 1533-position model. Lineage: Bacteria; Pseudomonadati; Bacteroidota. The record is from RNAcentral.
AAGGAAUAUUGGUCAAUGGGCGCAAGCCUGAACCAGCCAUGCCGCGUGCAGGAAGACGGCCCUAUGGGUUGUAAACUGCUUUUGUCAGGGAAUAAACCCCCGUACGUGUACGGGGCUGAAGGUACCUGAAGAAUAAGCAUCGGCUAACUCCGUGCCAGCAGCCGCGGUAAUACGGAGGAUGCAAGCGUUAUCCGGAUUCAUUGGGUUUAAAGGGUGCGCAGGCGGAUUGAUAAGUCAGGGGUGAAAUCCCACAGCUCAACUGUGGAACUGCCUUUGAUACUGUUAGUCUUGAGUAUAGUUGAAGUGGGCGGAAUGUGUCAUGUAGCGGUGAAAUGCGUAGAUAUUAGGAGGAACACCGGUGGCGAAGGCGGCUUGCUGGACAAAUACUGACGCUGAGGUGCGAAAGCGUGGGGAGCAAACA